ACCCCAACCCCCCCCGGCCCUGCCACCGGACCAGACUAAAUAAAUAACACUCGUUGUCUCCUUUGCUCUCAGGGCUGGGUUUUCACUUCUCUUGCAUCAGCUUUUGUGUUGUAGAAAAGCCCCGCAUUUCAAGGUGUAGCUCCGGAGAUCGGACUUUCAGGAGGGGGACACAGGUGGGCUUUGGGUACGCGCAUACAGAGCUGGAGCUGCUGCGAAGGAGCAUCUUUCCUUUCCCUUUUGCCUUUUUAAAAAGUGCCGCAUCCAGUCGCACAGCCGUGAAGCCGCACGCUGACGAGCGGUACUCUAAGACGCAGAGAGCACGAGCCACGUGCCACAGGGCGCAAGGAGAGAGGUGUAUUGUGCACUGUCAGCAGGAGCUAAGGGAAGAGACAAGCGGGAUAUCGGCCCCGAUGAUGACUUGGGCCAGAUGAGAGAGAUGAGUAGCGGGCAGCAGGGGGCCUUAUUCUUAGGGUGUGUGGUGUUGGUGCAGUUGUGAGCAGUCCUUUGUCACUUCUGUUUUUAGGUACUCAGUUCUGGAUGCAGCAGACAACUAUUGGAGGCCUGGUGGGCGAGGGGCCGAGUUUGUUUUUUUUUCAGGUGCCAAGUGUGAUUGUUCUUUGCUUCAGCACCCAGACACAGAGCCGUGAAGCCUCAUGCCAACCAGUGGUAUGAUCAAGCUUCAUACAGUGGCCUUGGGAGUCAGAGGGGCGUUUGAGUUCUCCUCCCCAGGAACACCUUGUCCAUAUGCAAGUCUGCACUGACCUCUGGUGUAUGCAUCAAGGAACUGAAGGUGUUCGGAGGGAGGAAGGGGAACUUGGAUAAUCCUUACAGUUGGUGUGAGCCUGGAGAGAAAGUCAACUUGUAAAGGAUGGGAACCUAGCUGAGAGUUCAUUUUCCUCUCGUGAUUGAGAGAUUUAUCAAAGGUUGUUGGUUUGAUGUUGUAUGGGUGGACACACCUUGUAGGAAUUUUCCUAAUUACUUGAGACUCUUGGUAUUGGCUGCAACGGGGCUUUCCAGCUGGAACUGUGAGUCUGGAUGAUGAUUCAGUGGUAAUUGGUGAUGUAUUUCUUCUUUAUCUCUGUUCUUUCUAUGUGGUAAUGAUUUAAUGCAUUUCUAAAGCUCUUCAGUACUUCAAUUAUACAGCUAUAGCUUAGAUUUGCUUUACAGUACUUAUUCCCUAUAGAGAGAUAUAUUUACCUAAUUCUCAUUAAUGUUCUUGAUUUAGAGUGCUUAUUAGCUUUGUGUGCUUGUUUAAUAAACUCUGCAUAUUGUACAGCUAAUGUGUGGUCAUGUUGUGGUGUACCCUGUCUGUCAGCAGAACAAUUUGGCAUAGGCAGCCGGAUAUGAAAUAAAAUGGCAUUUUUUUAGGAUUAAAAAAAAAGGUUUCUAAGACUGUGGAGCUGGAUAUUCCUGGUUGGGAACAAUUACUUUAUCGUAACAUAGCUGCUGAAUGGUUGAGUUCUGGUUUAUGUGAGAAUUGGGACUCACUGUUUGAAUUAGGCAGAACCUCCUGAUGUUGUUAAAUGUUUACAAAAAGUAUCAGUAGAAAAAGGAGAAUAAUAUAUUUCUUUUGAGAAGACAGGAGUGGAUUCUGCUGGCUGCAUAGAGAAAGCAGAGGAGAAAGCGAAAACAGAGGGAGAAGAUGGAUUUGGAAAAACAGUUUUGUUAAUUGCAGGGAAAAAUAAUUAUGUAACAAUGCCAGAAUCGAUUACUAACUGAUAAACUGGACACUUACCAACUGGUAGCAGGAAAGGCGGCGGGUCGGGUUGCACAAUAUAAAUAUAGAACACAAAGAGGUCGAGUAAACAAGCAAAAAGUGGGUGCAGUGAUGGCGGAGGCAGGAAGGAAUGAGGACCAUGAUAAGUGGGAUGGAGAUAUGUGGGAUAGUAGUUCAGAGGGUGAGGUGUCUUUUGAAGCAAAGACAAUAUUAUGGAGAAAAUCGGAACACGACUCUAGGUCGUCUGGGUUUAGGCGGGACGUUUUAGAUGAUUUCACUCAUCACGAAAGAAAUGACAUUAUGGACAGGUUCAAACAAAAGUCUGGAGAAUAUUUGUUUUAUUGGAUCAUCAGGUUGCAUGAUUUAGGGGCUUCGGAAGUUAAAUUGAUGCAUGCGAUGCUAAAAAAAGCAGCAACAAAGACAGAAGCAGAUAUACAACCAGAAGAGGAAGAUAGAGAGCACGAAGGACAAGCAGAAGAAGCAGCAGAAGAAGGUAAAAAAAAGCACACUGAUGGCCCAUAAGCAGAAGGCAGGAACCUAUAAAAAAAGGAAGCAGAAAAAGAAACAAAAGCAGCAAAAGAUGACAGAAAAGGAGAAGAAAAUACAGAAGUAGACAUUGAAGCAGAAGAAAAUGCAGGAAAAGCAGAAGCAGCAGUAGGAAGAGACUAGAAACAGUACACUCAGAAGAAUCACGGAAAAUACAUGAGCAUAAUUGGACGAGAGAGAGGCCUAAGGAGAAGCAGAAGAUACAGGUGCUUCAUUUGUGGAAAUUUCACCUAGCACCCAGUGCUGCAAUAAACAAGUGCCUGCCUCUUAAUGCUACCUUGGUGUUAAGGAGUUUUAUUCUCCUGCCUUUUGGUGACAAUUUUUGGUGACCCAGAUGGGACCUUGCGAGUGAGACUGGAAGAGAUGGAGUGCCGCUCAAACCCCAGCCGGCACCGAGGAAUUCUCGGGGAGGAACAUCGCCCUUGACUUUGAAAGCUCCUUGCAACGUUCCCUGGAAUAAAAAAAAAGGUGGGAAAAUCCACGAACAGGAUGAGAAACAUGGACCAGACUGCCACAAGGAUUCAAAAAUAGUCUGAUGAGCUUUGAUUACUAGUUGGCAAAAGAGCUGGAACGGUGGAAAUGGAGAGAUACGGAACCUAAACCUGGACAUCUGCUUCUACAAGACGUGGAUGACAUCUUGAUUGCUACGAAAGAGAGAGUGACCUGUAUGAAGGCCUCGGUGUUUGGAGAACCCAGUACAUGAUUUCCAACCAGGAGAUUAUGUCUUCAUGAAGACAUGGACUUCUGAACCUCUUCAAGAAUGCUAGAAAGGACCUUUUUAAGUAAUGUUGACUACCUUCAUCGCCAUCAAGAGAACUGAAUCAGAAGCAUGGAUAUGCACUAGGGUGAAGAAAGCACUAUCAUCAUGAAAAAUUGUCAACAGGGAUGAUAAGACCUCAAAAUUGACUCUGAAAUAUGUGUAAUUUUGUGUGUCCUUUUCAAAUGUGUAAUUGUUAUACCACUGAUAUGGCGAUCCAAGCUAUUUCUCCUUUAGCUGCUGCUUUAAAAUAUGAAUGUUUGUGUAGAGGUCUUAGGAAUAACCUCGAAUUGACUCAGACAUGCAUAUGCAGAAGGAGAACACUAUUUAGUUGCUAAAGAUCAGCAUUCCGGAGCCAAGGACACUUAGUGUGAACAAUGAGUGAUGGGACCUGGACAACUCAUUUACCUCUAGAUGGUAAAGUAGGAAAAAUAACAUUAGGCAUACCAACUCUGUACAAUCUGGAAAAGAACUCCUUUUAGAGGAGCAUUAGAACAUGUAAAAUUAGAAAGGGUGAAGAGGUCAGAAACAGAUGAAGAAUGGAAUGAACCUUCGACUGGAAUGAAAGUUGGCUGGGCUUUGUAGUCUUUGCUGACUCCUUUAGCAAUAUAGAGGAACAGGGAAUGUAUAUAUCAAUUAACAAGACAAGUAGAAAAAUGAGCAAAUGCAAGCAGGAAAGGAUUUAAGGAUUUGAAUAUAAAAUUACAGGCAAAUUCAAGGAUGACUUUACAAAACAGAAUAGCUUUGGAUAUGCUCUUACUUAAAGAGCAUGGAAUUGUGGAUACUUGAAAGGUAGAAUUGAUCAUUGUUGUCCACACAUUCAGAAUGUGACUCAAGAUGUGGAGCAUGACUUAGACUUAUUGGAAAAGGUAGAACAGAAUAAUCAAAAGAUUCAACUAGACAAGAAAGUUGGAUAGAUAAAAUCUUCAAGGGAGUAGAAUGGAAUUUGUGUUCACGGAUGAAAUCACUGAUUAGCACUGCGAUAGUCUUGAUAAUUUUUCUAACGAUUAUUUUGAUCUAUUAUUAUUUAAGAAGACAAAUAAACAAGACUGCAUUCAGUCGAAUGAUCAUCCAAGCAGUGGCUAGACAACAAGAUGAACAAUAAUCAAUUCCAAAGGCUCCCACUAACAUAUAAUUACUCCCACAAAACAGUAAUAAAAAAAAAAAUCUUAAAGUAAUGAAAUUAUUUUCAAAGCUUUCAAAGGGGUGAAAUGUUGCAGAUUGUUUUAAGAUUUAUUGAAUCUUUCUAUAUUUUGUUUGAUGAUGAAGCCGUUAUGUAUAAGAACAUCUAGAUUUAAAAAUUUAGCCUCUAUGUUAGCACGUGCUAUGCUAGCCAUGCUAUGUUAGCACGGGAUGCUGUGUUAGAAAUUAGAUGCUGUGUUGCUUGACAUCUGUGUUCUCUGUGACAUGUCCUUACUCUCUAGAGCAUAACCAAAGCAUGAUGAUUUAAGCUAAAGCCAGAUGAUUGAAUAUUGUAACCACUGGGUUUUGUAUGCUUUAGAGGAUAAGGAAAAGUGGCCAAAAAAUGGAGCUUUCAGUUGUAAUAAUAUUUUGCAGUUAAUAUUGUUUUAUAGAAGAGGAGGUUAAAUCGAUGUCAAAAACAGGUGUUUAUAAC
Molecule: long non-coding RNA, 4635 nt
Organism: Strigops habroptila (Kakapo)
Lineage: Eukaryota; Metazoa; Chordata; Aves; Psittaciformes; Psittacidae
Exons: 9
Source: RefSeq, a predicted model, not a curated record